GUCCACGCCGUAAACGAUGACAACUAGCCGUCGGGCCCCUUGAGGGCUUGGUGGCGCAGCUAACGCGAUAAGUUGUCCGCCUGGGGAGUACGGCCGCAAGGUUAAAACUCAAAUGAAUUGACGGGGGCCCGCACAAGCGGUGGAGCAUGUUGUUUAAUUCGAUGCAACGCGAAGAACCUUACCACCCCUUGACAUCCUGCGAACUUUCUAGAGAUAGAUUGGUGCCUUCGGGAACGCAGUGACAGGUGCUGCAUGGCUGUCGUCAGCUCGUGUCGUGAGAUGUUGGGUUAAGUCCCGUAACGAGCGCAACCCUUGUCCUUAUUUGCCAGCGGGUCAUGCCGGGAACUCUAAGGAGACUGACGGUGACAAACCGUAGGAAGGUGGGGACGACGUCAAGUCAUCAUGGCCCUUACGGGGUGGGCUACAAACGUGCUACAAUGGUCGGUACAAAGGGCUGCGAACCAGCAAUGGUAAGCGAAUCCCAAAAAGCCGAUCGUAGUCCGGAUUGGGGUCUGCAACUCGACCCCAUGAAGUCGGAAUCGCUAGUAAUCGCGAAUCAGAAUGUCGCGGUGAAUACGUUCCCGGGCCUUGUACACUCCC
This 600-nucleotide ribosomal RNA is filed under the name uncultured bacterium. Its description in RNAcentral is "bacterial SSU rRNA". It matches the Rfam family "Bacterial small subunit ribosomal RNA", at positions 793 to 1392 of the family's 1533-position model. The record is from RNAcentral.